Molecule: long non-coding RNA, 245 nt
Filed under: Elaeis guineensis (African oil palm)
Lineage: Eukaryota; Viridiplantae; Streptophyta; Magnoliopsida; Arecales; Arecaceae
Description: long non-coding RNA (EGUI_LNC020862)
Source: RNAcentral
UCUCUUCCCCUUGUCCUCCCACCUUCUCUCUGUCACACCAAUUAAGAGGCAUGCUUUCUUGGAUUUAUUUAGGAAAGUGAAGUUGAUUAAUGUACGAGCUAAAGAUUGCAUAGUUGUUGAGGUUUGAAGGAUAAGUGAAAACCUUGUUCAUUAAAUGAAGGGGAAUAUACUAAAUGUUGCAUGCUUUCUGCAAAUUCAGAAAAUGCUAUUAUAUUUGCCUGAUGAGAUGACUUGUUUUUUGCCAC